RNAcentral lists this ribosomal RNA (406 nucleotides) under uncultured bacterium. Its description in RNAcentral is "partial 16S ribosomal RNA". It matches the Rfam family "Bacterial small subunit ribosomal RNA", at positions 30 to 526 of the family's 1533-position model. The record is from RNAcentral.
AUUGAACGCUGGCGGCAGGCCUAACACAUGCAAGUCGAACGAGUGGCGGACGGGUGAGUAACACGUGAUAACCUACCUAUAAGACUGGGAUAACUUCGGGAAACCGGAGCUAAUACCGGAUACUUAUAGAUGGAUCCGCGCUGCAUUAGCUAGUUGGUAAGGUAACGGCUUACCAAGGCAACGAUGCAUAGCCGACCUGAGAGGAUGACCAGCCACACUGGAACUGCGACACGGUCCAGACUCCUACGGGAGGCAGCAGUGGGGAAUAUUGCACAAUGGGCGCAAGCCUGAUGCAGCCAUGCCGCGUGUAUGAAGAAGGCCUUCGGGUUGUAAAGUACUUUCAGCGAGGAGGCGUUACUCGCAGAAGAAGCACCGGCUAACUCCGUGCCAGCAGCCGCGGUAAUAC